This is a non-coding RNA of Anolis sagrei ordinatus, 2216 nucleotides long. The record is from RefSeq and is a predicted model, not a curated record. NCBI's taxonomy places the organism in Eukaryota, Metazoa, Chordata, Lepidosauria, Squamata, Anolidae.
AGACCAUGUUGCACACAAAAAUUGCAUUUGGAGUAAUAUGGCCACUAUAGAACAUGUGUUGAGAACCACUGGUGUAGCCAAUAGGUCAUCUGCUGCCUUUCAGAGAGACCUCAGACCUUCCACAAUCACAUCACACCUCCCUUCCCCCCCCCCCCCCAAAUCCCCAAAAUAGAGGUCUCCAUGGGCACUCUUCUCUAUUAAAAGACAACUUCCAAGAGCUAAAAAGUUGGAUAGAGAAGCUUCACUCAAGACAUCAGGUGGAAAUCUGAUAACUGGGUUGUUGUAGGUUUUUGGGGCUAUGUGGCCAUGUUCUAGAAGCAUUCUCACCUGACGUUUCACCUACAUCUAUGGCAGGCAUCCUCAGAGGUUGUGAAACCUCACAACCUCUGAAAAUGCUUGCCAUAGAUGUGGGCGAAACAUAAGGAGAGAAUGCUUGUAGAACAUGGCCAUAGAGCACGAAAAACCUGCAACAAUUCAGUGUGGUCAUGCCUCCAACAACCCAGUAUGGUCAAACAUCUUGUUGUACACAAAAACCUUGUUGUACACAAAAGACUUACAAUAACCCAGUGUGGUCAAGCAUCUUGUUGUACACAAAAAUUGUAUUCAGACUGUGACACCAUCCACCCUCUCUUUGAGAUAGAGGUCUCUAUGGGACAAUCUUUUUGUAAUAUAAGACUACUUUAAAUAAUGCUUGCUCCCCAAAAAAAGUCACUUGUGACUCUCCAGUCACUUUCCAUUUUGGAAAAACGGGCAUGUCCUAGCUGUGGAGUUCCAGUUGGGUUGGAAAAGGAAAGUGUGUUGAGAGCAACUUCACUUUGACUCCUUUGAUCACAGGUGUUUCUCUAAGCCAGAACCUUUUCCUCCUGCUAUACUGCUUUUGCCUGAUCUGGUCACCAAAGCAAGAUGGAGAAAUGCCAUUCAACGUAUUUGGGUGGAGAAACCAUUUGGCACAAUCCACAUUGGAAAAUACAACAUGUUGGGUUGCCAUUACUUCUACGUGGACUCUAAGAACCCCCUCCCCAAUCCCUGGUAGCUGCAUUCAGACAGUAGUCCAGGUCAGAAUGCAAGGCCUUAAUGUUGUUUCCUUGUGAAAUGGAAAAUACGGGUUGUUUCUGUCAAACAACAUAGUUAGGUUUGUUGACCUGGGCGUUAUUCUCUGAAAGUGAACAUACUGUCCACCCCACCAUGCCAAUCACUCCCAGGCUGUUUGUGGGUGGCUGGAUCUAUAAAAGUCCAAUCUUUCAGAGAUGCUAAAGAAGUUUACAUAAGAGACUUAACAGACAAUCUUAAUCGUAAUGCAUUUAAGUACUCUGUAUCCCAGAUGUGUGAUCGCUACCCAAUUAACUCUAUGUUUUUAAGCCAUAUUGAAUCUCUUUCACGAAUACAUGGAAAGUCAUCCACUCAGUCACUGAACUUGUCAACAGGCUUCAAGGAAAUAUCGUUCACGUACUGUAGAUAUAUACCGUAUGGUAUGUAUCUUCCAUUCAAAGAAAACUAAGGACCAAAGAGUACUGUUGCCCUAAUCCAACGCUGGUCAGAAAACGAGCCAGUGUCACCUGUACAUUAAAAACCAGGUGUCGAUUCCUUUUUGACAUUCAUUUUGCAUCACAUCUUACUCAUUUCAGGGAGAGAGAGAAAGAGCAAGAUAGCCAUAUUAGGGUCUAUCUGCUAAAAAUGUUGAGAAAUGAAAGGAAGUCAGGAAACAUUUGAAUGUCUAUUGGUAAGGCUUAUUACCAAACCUUGGAAAUAAAGCAAAUAACCAAAAGGGAUGGGGGGGGGGGGUUUAACAAAAUGACUUAUUUGACUUCUAAUUAGAAUUUUGCACUAAUGAGUUAAAAUGUAGUCAUUUCCCAAUAAUAAAGCCCAUCAAUUAUUUUGUUGUCUGAAUGUCCUAGAAUAAGAUAAAAUGAGUUUCCAAUAAUUGUGAUGAUGGUGAGUCCACGGUGUAAUGAAUGCAAAGGUAUGGGGCACCCCCUUAACCAGUGUUGUAAAUAACCCUUUGGACAUUAGUUGAGUGCCGAGAGACAUGUAUCUUCUGAUAUAUCAAAUAUUUGACUGUCUAGAUCAAAUUGUACACAAUAUAUUUGUCGAUGGUCCUGUAACCUAGUGUAUGAACACAUUUUUCUGGGUGCCUUAGAAGUUGUAUUUUUCAUGUGUGUUAAUAUGCAGUAUUUAUACCUUGUGAGAAGCUGCUUUGAAUAAAAAUAUUGAAACUA